UUAAAUUGAAGAGUUUGAUCAUGGCUCAGAUUGAACGCUGGCGGCAGGCCUAACACAUGCAAGUCGAACGGUAACAGGAAGCAGCUUGCUGCUUUGCUGACGAGUGGCGGACGGGUGAGUAAUGUCUGGGAAACUGCCUGGUGGAGGGGGAUAACUA
This 157-nucleotide ribosomal RNA is filed under the name Escherichia coli. RNAcentral describes it as "partial 16S ribosomal RNA". It matches the Rfam family "Bacterial small subunit ribosomal RNA", at positions 1 to 149 of the family's 1533-position model. Lineage: Bacteria; Pseudomonadati; Pseudomonadota; Gammaproteobacteria; Enterobacterales; Enterobacteriaceae. The record is from RNAcentral.